This 301-nucleotide ribosomal RNA is filed under the name uncultured bacterium. RNAcentral describes it as "partial 16S ribosomal RNA". It matches the Rfam family "Bacterial small subunit ribosomal RNA", at positions 509 to 809 of the family's 1533-position model. The record is from RNAcentral.
CAGUAGCCGCGGGAAUACGAAGGGGGCUAGCGUUGUUCGGAAUUACUGGGCGUAAAGCGUACGUAGGCGGCUUUGUAAGUUAGAGGUGAAAGCCUGGUGCUCAACACCAGAACUGCCUUUAAGACUGCAUCGCUUGAACGUCGGAGAGGUGAGUGGAAUUCCGAGUGUAGAGGUGAAAUUCGUAGAUAUUGGGAAGAACACCAGUGGCGAAGGCGGCUCACUGGACCGACACUGACGCUGAGGCGCGAAAGCGUGGGGAGCAAACAGGAUUAGAUACCCCUGUAGUCCCUGUCUCUUAUAU